RNAcentral lists this ribosomal RNA (253 nucleotides) under uncultured bacterium. Its description in RNAcentral is "partial 16S ribosomal RNA". It matches the Rfam family "Bacterial small subunit ribosomal RNA", at positions 524 to 776 of the family's 1533-position model. The record is from RNAcentral.
GAAGGGGGAUGCAAGCGUUAUCCGGAAUCACUGGGCGUAAAGCGUCUGUAGGUGGUGAUGCAAGUCACUGGUGCAAAACUCUGGCUCAACCGGAGGAAAGCCAGUGAAACUGCAUGACUAGAGUGUGGGAGAGGUAGAAGGAAUUCCCUGUGUAGCGGUGAAAUGCGUAGAUACAGUGAAGAACACCGGAUGCGAAAGCGUUCUACUGGAACACAACUGACACUGAGAGACGAAAGCUAGGGGAGCGAAUGGG